AGGAAGACAGGUUGGUGGGGGAAGAAGAGUGGUAGGGAGAGGGAGACAGGUUGGUGGGGGAAGAAGAGUGGCAGGGAGAGGGAGACAGGUUGGUGGGGAUAGAAGAGUGGCAGGGAGAGGGAGACAGGUUGGUGGGGAAAGAAGAGUGGCAGGGAGAGGGAGAAUGUGUGGAGGACAAAGGAGAGGAAGACAGGUUGGUGGGGAUAGAAGAGUGGCAGGGAGAGGGAGACAGGUUGGUGGGGAAAGAAGAGUGGCAGGGAGAGGGAGAAUGUGUGGAGGACAAAGGAGAGGAAGACCAAUAGCGAUGGUCUCUGAUGAGA
Long non-coding RNA from Oncorhynchus tshawytscha (Chinook salmon), 320 nucleotides. The record is from Ensembl. NCBI's taxonomy places the organism in Eukaryota, Metazoa, Chordata, Actinopteri, Salmoniformes, Salmonidae.